ACGAACGCUGGCGGCGUGCUUAACACAUGCAAGUCGCGCGGAAAGGCCCUUCGGGGUACUCGAGCGGCGAACGGGUGAGUAACACGUGGGUAACCUGCCCCAGACUUUGGGAUAACCCUCGGAAACGGGGGCUAAUACCGGAUACGACACAGCUUCGCAUGGGGUCUGUGUGGAAAGUUUUUCGGUUUGGGAUGGGCUCGCGGCCUAUCAGCUUGUUGGUGGGGUGAUGGCCUACCAAGGCGACGACGGGUAGCCGGCCUGAGAGGGCGACCGGCCACACUGGGACUGAGACACGGCCCAGACUCCUACGGGAGGCAGCAGUGGGGAAUAUUGCACAAUGGGCGGAAGCCUGAUGCAGCGACGCCGCGUGAGGGAUGACGGCCUUCGGGUUGUAAACCUCUUUCAGCAGGGACGAAGCGUAAGUGACGGUACCUGCAGAAGAAGCGCCGGCCAACUACGUG
Molecule: ribosomal RNA, 461 nt
Filed under: uncultured bacterium
Lineage: Bacteria
Description: partial 16S ribosomal RNA
Rfam family: Bacterial small subunit ribosomal RNA
Source: RNAcentral